UGGACAGAUUAUUGUAUUCGACUGUAUUCACGGCGUGAAACAGGGGAUUAUGCUAUUUUUAAACGGAAAGUGAAUCAAUUAACAUAAUCGACUCCU
RNAcentral lists this microRNA precursor (96 nucleotides) under Nicotiana sylvestris (wood tobacco). RNAcentral describes it as "MIR6152 microRNA precursor family". It matches the Rfam family "MIR6152 microRNA precursor family". The record is from Rfam by way of RNAcentral. Lineage: Eukaryota; Viridiplantae; Streptophyta; Magnoliopsida; Solanales; Solanaceae. RNAcentral also lists the same sequence under 1 other name.